UAAUAGAUGUUCCCUUACUCCAUGAUAGGA
This 30-nucleotide non-coding RNA is filed under the name Mus musculus (house mouse). Lineage: Eukaryota; Metazoa; Chordata; Mammalia; Rodentia; Muridae. The record is from RNAcentral.